CACACCGCCCGUCGCUACUACCGAUUGAAUGGCUCAGUGAGGCGUCCGGACUGGCCUAGAGGAGUCGGCAACGACACCUCAGGGCCGGAAAGUUCUCCAAACUCGGUCAUUUAGAGGAAGUAAAAGUCGUAACAAGGUCUCCGUUGGUGAACCAGCGGAGGGAUCAUUAAUGAGUUAUAAACUCCUAAAACCCAAUGUGAACUUACCAUUUUGUUGCCUCGGCAGGUUGUGCUUUUACCCUGUAGCAGCUACCCUGUAGGACCUACCCUGGACCUACCCUGUAGUACCUACCCGGCAAGCACGCUAAACGGCCUGCCGGUGGCCCUUUAAACUCUUGUUAGUUACUGUGGAAUUCUGAAUAUAUAAAACAUAAUAAGUUAAAACUUUCAACAACGGAUCUCUUGGUUCUGGCAUCGAUGAAGAACGCAGCGAAAUGCGAUAAGUAAUGUGAAUUGCAGAAUUCAGUGAAUCAUCGAAUCUUUGAACGCACAUUGCGCCCAUUAGUAUUCUAGUGGGCAUGCCUGUUCGAGCGUCAUUUCGACCCUUAAGCCCUUGUUGCUUAGUGUUGGGACUCUACGAUUAUAACGUAGUUCCUUAAAGUCAGUUGGCGGAGUUAGGGUAUACUCUCAGCGUAGUAAAAUUUUUCCUCGCUUUUGUAGUUAUUCUAGCUAUAGCCAUUAAACCCAUUAAUUUUUUUUCUAAAGGUUGACCUCGGAUCAGGUAGGAAUACCCGCUGAACUUAAGCAUAUCAAUAAGCGGAGGAAAAGAAACCAACAGGGAUUGCCUUAGUAACGGCGAGUGAAGCGGCAACAGCUCAAAUUUGAAAUCUGGCCUUCGGGUCCGAGUUGUAAUUUGUAGAGGAUGCUUUUGGUGCGGUGCCUUCCAAGUUCCCUGGAACGGGACGCCUUAGAGGGUGAGAGCCCCGUACGGUUGGACACCUAGCCUCUGUAAAGCUCCUUCGACGAGUCGAGUAGUUUGGGAAUGCUGCUCUAAAUGGGAGGUAAACUUCUUCUAAAGCUAAAUACCGGCCAGAGACCGAUAGCGCACAAGUAGAGUGAUCGAAAGAUGAAAAGCACUUUGAAAAGAGGGUUAAAUAGCACGUGAAAUUGUUGAAAGGGAAGCGUUUGCGACCAGACUUUCUCUAGGCGGAUCAUCCGGUGUUCUCACCGGUGCACUUCGUCUAGUUUAGGCCAGCAUCGGUUUCUGCAGGGGGAUAAAGGCCUGGGGAAUGUAGCUCCUUCGGGAGUGUUAUAGCCCCUCGCGUAAUACCUUUGCGGGGACCGAGGACCGCGCUUCGGCAAGGAUGCUGGCAUAAUGGUCGUCAACGACCCGUCUUGAAACACGGACCAAGGAGUCGAACAUUUGUGCGAGUGUUUGGGUGUUAAACCCUCACGCGUAAUGAAAGUGAACGGAGGUGAGAGCCCUUACGGGUGCAUCAUCGACCGAUCCUGAUGUCUUCGGAUGGAUUUGAGUAAGAGCAUAACUGUUCGGACCCGAAAGAUGGUGAACUAUGCGUGGAUAGGGUGAAGCCAGAGGAAACUCUGGUGGAGGCUCGCAGCGGUUCUGACGUGCAAAUCGAUCGUCAAAUCUGCGCAUGGGGGCGAAAGACUAAUCGAACC
Molecule: ribosomal RNA, 1619 nt
Filed under: Lopadostoma pouzarii
Lineage: Eukaryota; Fungi; Ascomycota; Sordariomycetes; Xylariales; Xylariaceae
Description: eukaryotic LSU rRNA
Rfam family: Eukaryotic large subunit ribosomal RNA (bases 707-1619)
Source: RNAcentral